Molecule: ribosomal RNA, 468 nt
Filed under: uncultured bacterium
Lineage: Bacteria
Description: partial 16S ribosomal RNA
Rfam family: Bacterial small subunit ribosomal RNA
Source: RNAcentral
GACGAACGCUGGCGGCGUGCUUAACACAUGCAAGUCGAACGGAAAGGCCCUGCUUUUGUGGGGUGCUCGAGUGGCGAACGGGUGAGUAACACGUGAGUAACCUGCCCUUGACUUUGGGAUAACUUCAGGAAACUGGGGCUAAUACCGGAUAGGAGCUCCUGCUGCAUGGUGGGGGUUGGAAAGUUUCGGCGGUUGGGGAUGGACUCGCGGCUUAUCAGCUUGUUGGUGGGGUAGUGGCUUACCAAGGCUUUGACGGGUAGCCGGCCUGAGAGGGUGACCGGCCACAUUGGGACUGAGAUACGGCCCAGACUCCUACGGGAGGCAGGAGUGGGGAAUAUUGCACAAUGGGCGGAAGCCUGAUGCAGCAACGCCGCGUGCGGGAUGACGGCCUUCGGGUUGUAAACCGCUUUCGCCUGUGACGAAGCGUGAGUGACGGUAAUGGGUAAAGAGGCACCGGCUAACUACGUG